Cygnus olor (mute swan) is the source of this 3702-nucleotide long non-coding RNA. RefSeq lists it as uncharacterized. The transcript is spliced from 3 exons. Lineage: Eukaryota; Metazoa; Chordata; Aves; Anseriformes; Anatidae. The record is from RefSeq and is a predicted model, not a curated record.
AUAAGUCCUCAGGAGUUGCUAAACUGGAACGUGAUUUGUUCGGGAAGUCUGCAGCAAGGAGCUGAGAGCAGGAUUUGCGAGCAGCGGGACUGGGAACGCUUUGUUGGUUUGAAAAAGGAUCAGAAAAAAGAGGGAAAAGAGCCCGAGCUGGCUUGCAGUCGGAGUGUCGGCAGUAAAGAAUGGGGAAAAGGACAGAGCGUGCUGCCGUCCGUCGAUACGGAGCUAAACCCUGGUGUCUUUCUACCUUUUUACCUCUGCGGGGUCAGCAGGGAGGCUGCUGUGUUACUGCCGUGCACCGGGGGAGCUGCCUUGUCCUUUUUUUAACCUGCUAAAACCCUGCAUUUCUGUGACAAUGUGGCCACAGCUUCUCCCCCCAACCCGUGUUGCUGCUGGGCUCCUUCUGUGGGGUCACACCAGGUAAUGGGAGUGCUGCUACACAAGCAAAUUAAAUCAGCAUCUAUUUGUGUGGAUAUUUGGCUUUGACUCCACGUUUGAAUCCCUUUCUCCUUCUCCCCCCUCUCCUCGGCCCAGAGGCUGCUUUGCAUGCUCGCUGGGAUCUCCCCUGUGGCAAGAUGGUCACCUGUUCCUUGUGCUUGUACCUCCUUUCUGAAGCCUGUCACCUGGUGCUUUUUUUUCCCCUGUGAUUCUCCUUUAUUCUUCUUUAAUUAUUAUUUGGAGCUCUUGUUCCAGUUUUUGAAAAUACAGCCCUUGCACGAGGUCCCCCAGUUUCCAGUGCUACCCUCUCUAUUUAGGGAGACUUACCACCUAAACGUCAUCUGUGCCCUAUUGCUGCCAUUCAGCUAUUAACGUGCUUUCUAGUGACUGCUGGCAAAUACACAUUUAAAUUGUUUCCAAGCUGAAAACCUCCAGCGUUAUUUGACUGGAGGAGAGAAAAAAGAAAAUGAGCAGGUUUUGUUGUUGCAAUGCGCAGAACAAAGCAGGCUGCUGCUAUUUCAUUGAGCUAUAAGGGUUAUUGCAAGAAGCAUCUUUUUUUGGUAUGAUCAUAGGAUGAUGCUUAAACGUAGAGUAAUUCAGCUCUGUGCUGAAACACAGCUUUGCUUUUGCUAUGAGGUUUCCAUCCCAAACAACUCUGAGGCUCUGUCCAAAGUGCUCAGCAAGAAAAGUUGAAGCAUGCUGACAUACACGUGCCACCUUGCCAGCAAACGGAAAGACAAAUCUGGUAAUAACACACUUGAUGCUGAUUUAUUAAGCACUCCUUCCCACACAGGCAGUCAGAAUGAGCUGAAAUAAUAGGAUCAGGUGAGCAGGAACAGUGAACGAGUUGCUUUUCUAUGGGCAGUGAGCAACAGAGGAAGGAAAAAUUAAAAGCUAAUGCCUUUAGAGGACAGAAACGCCGCACUGCAAUAGAGGGAGAGGCAGGGGACCGGAGGAUGCAGGCUCUGCCCUGCCUGUAGCUGCUUUCUAGGUCUCGGGAUCUGUAGCCACGUGGAUUGGGAGCAGCUUUGCUUCAGGUCUGUUAAUUACUGGCUUUGGCAGGGCUGGCCUGCGGGGCUUCUGUGACUGCAGAGGGAUCCUGGGCAUCCGCAGGGCAGCAACUCCUCCCUGCAGCCCUGCCUCAGCCUGCAUCCCCGCAAAAGCUUUCUCCUUGGGAAGCCUCAGCUUUUGUAGUGACCCCGGGGGGGCUUUCCUCGUGCAAGGGCCGUGGAGCACAUGCUGCUUUCACUGGGAGGUUCUCAUCCCUUGCAGCAAGGAAACUGAGUCACAGCGAUGUGACGGUUGGGCUGGUGGAAGUGCUCUCUGCGUGUUCGCUCUUUGAAAGUGGCUGUUGCCGGAGCAACAGCUGAGAUUUAUGAAAAUCUGGGUCUUACUCCAUGUGCUGACAGCAAAUCCAUAGGGUUUUUUUCAUCCUGGCUCCAAAGAUAAGUGUCAUUGUUGUCAAUUGAAUAUAUCUAAUCAGUUUAUAUUUCAGCAGCAUAAGCAUAUAAGGGACGAGAUUCUUGCUUAGUAUACGUCGAGCAAAAUUAAUUUACUGUGCUCUUCCAAUCCCCGCAAUAAAAAACUCUGACCUAACUUGAAACUUCUUGUACUUGAAAUAAAAACGUGCAUUCCUUUCUGUGUUGAAAGUGCUUAGCUUUUGAGUCUUCACCUGAGAUUUUUCUGCAGCUCCCUCCUGUAGAUUGCACCAGUGCCCUUGUGUUGUAGUGCAAAGUCAUGCUGGAUAAUCAUGCACCGGCCUAGGAAACACGACUUGGCCCAUGGUCAAACCUGUUUCACAGUUCAGUAUACUUUGUACAAAAGGGUUUUGGCUUGUAUAAAUUAGCCUCUGCUGCUCCUGAUGCACCAUUCGUUUUAUUUUUUUAUCCUUCCAGACAUUAAUGACUUUUGGACGUGUCCUUUCCUUGAGGCCUUAAAUUUUUUUUUGCUUGCUCAUGUUUAUGCUUUUUCAUAAAUAAUCCAUUUUUCUCGCAGAUGUGAUGUUUUAUUUGGAUUUAUAAGAGCAAGAUGAUAAAGUGCCCAGCCCAAACACUUAGGUGCCCUUGACAAAUAUGGUCAAAACAACCCAGACAUGAAAACAAAUCUGGGACCAACCUCUGCUGCGUGCAGCAGUAGCUGGGUGAGCUCCCUGGCACUGGGGAAGGAACCACUGCAGGCACUCCUAAAGAGAGCGGGAGUUGAACUUCCCAUCCCUGCCAUAACAUAUAUUUUCCUCGGGAUCAGCAGAUUUGACCUUUUGGAUUUAAGGGAUGAAAUGUUUACGGGGAAACACAGGGGGUGCUUGUUAGAAUUCAGUAUUUCCUGAAAGGAAGAUCCUGGGACCCAUCUCUUGCUGUACUCAGUGAGCAGCCUCUUUCUUACCCAUCGCGCCACCAUCAGAUCCAAGUAAUCGAGGUGUAGCUGGGAGCCCCCCAGCCAAAUUCACCUCUGUCAGGUGCAGAUGAGUGUCAGGUACUGUAAGGAGCGCUAUAUAGCACCCUGUGAGCCUCUGUAAGCAGCUGUGUGUAGAAGAACAGUGCCUGUUUGUAAUCCAGCCAGACUCCCAAGUAGUACAACAGCUUGGAAGAAAAAACCUUUAUUAUGCUUUUGGAUGCUUCCUGUAACCGCGGUGCUGCCUUCUCUCAGAAGUCACUGAUUAAGGAUCUUUUUAUGCAUUAAGAGCUUCUGGGAGCACUGAAGCUAACGAAGCCUGUUCUGUGGGUCUGGGACUGAAGUUCACUGACUUUGUCCGCAGAGUUGACGCGUCCGGUUGAAUCCUUUCCUGUUGGGAGGCGUUUGUAAGGUUCCCUCUAAUGUGGAUUCCCUGGUGUUCGGUGAGAUGUGUUCCCACUGCACAUUUUCUCUCUUGGAAAAAGUAGUUGAGCUUUUCCGCCUUUUCGGUGAAAAUCAUAGGAACUUACUUGUGUUUCAUCUUCCACCUUUGCUAUAUUUUCUUAAAAGGCUGUGUUGAGAUCGGCGUAAGCCUGAGCGCUGGACAGAAGCUGAGGCAGGAUUCCUCUGCCUUCGCAGCUCGCUUGCUGCGUGUCCUUGGGCACAAGGUAGCUGAGCCUACAGAAGUACCCACGAGCUGUGCCUCCAGUCUGGCUACGUUUGCAUGCACACAAAACCAUCUUUGCUUGUCUGUGCACGGCUCCAGCCCGGUUUUUCACUCAAGCAGAAAUGUGGGUUUGUUAUGUUCACCUGUUCAUUUGAAAACAUUGGCUUUAGCCGCCAUGUGUUUUAGCUUUCUCAUCCAUGAAAUGGAAA